UUACGGUUAUAUCACGUUGAAACACAGGUUCUGUUCCGAUCACCGAAGUUAAGCAACGUCAAGCCUGUUUAGUACUUAGAUAGGGAACCGCUUGAGGAUACCAG
This is a non-coding RNA of Acanthosepion pharaonis, 104 nucleotides long. The record is from the annotation of a GenBank genome assembly. NCBI's taxonomy places the organism in Eukaryota, Metazoa, Mollusca, Cephalopoda, Sepiida, Sepiidae.